This 460-nucleotide ribosomal RNA is filed under the name uncultured bacterium. Its description in RNAcentral is "partial 16S ribosomal RNA". It matches the Rfam family "Bacterial small subunit ribosomal RNA", at positions 338 to 795 of the family's 1533-position model. The record is from RNAcentral.
CCUACGGGAGACAGCAGUGAGGAAUAUUGGUCAAUGGGCGGGAGCCUGAACCAGCCAAGUCGCGUGAGGGAAGACGGUCCUACGGAUUGUCAACCUCUUUUGCCGGGGAGCAACGGUGUCCUUGCGAGGGCCCAAUGAGAGUCCCCAGAGAAAAAGCAUCGGUUAACUCCGUGCCAGCAGCCGCGGUAAUACGGAGGAUGCGAGCGUUAUCCGGAUUUAUUGGGUUUAAGGGGUGCGUAGGCGGGCUGUUAAGUCAGCGGUAAAAUGUCGGGGCUCAACCCCGGCCUGCCGUUGAAACUGGCGGCCUCGAGUGGGCGAGAGGUAUGCGGAAGGCGUGGUGUAGCGGUGAAAUGCAUAGAUAUCACGCAGAACUCCGAUUGCGAAGGCAGCAUACCGGCGCCCUACUGACGCUGAGGCACGAAAGCGUGGGUAUCGAACAGGAUUAGAUACCCUGGUAGUC